Molecule: small nucleolar RNA, 55 nt
Filed under: Trypanosoma cruzi
Lineage: Eukaryota; Euglenozoa; Kinetoplastea; Trypanosomatida; Trypanosomatidae
Description: C/D small nucleolar RNA (snoRNA), TB10C1C4, 5' partial
Source: RNAcentral
UACUAUUGGAAGACGAGUCUGAACCCUGAUGCAUCGCUGUUAUACGGCACUGAUC